RNAcentral lists this ribosomal RNA (494 nucleotides) under uncultured Corynebacterium sp. RNAcentral's name for it is "partial 16S ribosomal RNA". Lineage: Bacteria; Bacillati; Actinomycetota; Actinomycetes; Mycobacteriales; Corynebacteriaceae. The record is from RNAcentral.
CACGUAGUUAGCCGGUGCUUCUUCUCCAGGUACCGUCACAAAAAUGCUUCGUCCCUAGCGAAAGGAGUUUACAACCCGAAGGCCUUCAUCCCCACGCGGCGUCGCUGCAUCAGGCUUGCGCCCAUUGUGCAAUAUUCCCCACUGCUGCCUCCCGUAGGACGUCUGGGCCGUAUCUCAGUCCCAAUGUGGCCGUACACCCUCUCAGGCCGGCUACCCGUCGACGCCUUGGUAGGCCAUUACCCCACCAACAAGCUGAUAGGCCGCGAGCUCAUCCCAUACCGCAAAAGCUUUCCACAACAAUAUCCAAAAAGUUGUCCUAUCCGGUAUUAGACCCAGUUUCCCAAGCUUAUCCCGAAGUACAGGGCAGAUCACCCACGUGUUACUCACCCGUUCGCCACUCGAGUACCAGUGCAAGCACUGGCCUUCCGUUCGACUUGCAUGUGUUAAGCACGCCGCCAGCGUUCAUCCUCGUAGUCCACGGACGUCAAACUACU